RNAcentral lists this non-coding RNA (2097 nucleotides) under Pongo abelii (Sumatran orangutan). The record is from RNAcentral. Lineage: Eukaryota; Metazoa; Chordata; Mammalia; Primates; Hominidae.
UAACAAAAUGUUCUUCCUUUAGUUUGCUUUUGCACUUAAAAUAUAUAUAAUUGACUUUUUGGGAAAAAAAUCUGAGAUUCACUGCUUUGUUUUGUAAAGACCAAUAGCUUCUGUAUAGUCUUUUUUUAAAUUGUGGUAAAACAUACACGGCAUUAAUUUACCAUUUUAACCAUUUUAAAGUGCACAAUUUGUGGCAUUAAGUACACUCACAUUGUUGUGCAACCAUCACCACCGUCCAUCUUCAGAACCUUUUUAUAUUCCCAAACUGAAACUCUGUACUCGUUAAGCACUUACUUCCGGUUUCCCCAUCCCCCAGCCCCUAGCAACCACAACUGUACUUUCUAUGAAUUUGACUACUCUAGGUACUGCAUGUAGGUGGAAUCAUACAGUAUUUGUCUUUUGUUUUGCUUUGUUUUGUUUUUUGUUUUCUAAGACAGGGUCUUACUCUGUCGCCCAGGCUGGAGUGCAGUGGUGCAAUCACAGUGUCCUUUUGUGACUGGUUUAUUUCACUUAGCGCAAUGUUUUCAAGGUUCAUCCAUGUUGUUGCAUGUCUCAGAACUUCCUUUUUUGGGCUAAUAUUCUUGCAUAUAUUUACCCAGUUUUGCUUAUCCAUUCAGCUACUGAUGGACACUUGGGUUGCUUCCAUCUUUUGGCUAUUGUGAAUAAUGCUGUUUUGAACGUGGGUGUGCUACAUAGUUACUUUUUAAAAUUGGCACAACAGCCCUGUCUUUUGACAUACAUAUUUUAUGGAAAACACAAGAUUUUUCUGGCUGACGCUCAACCUCAUAAUUUGGACCUUGGUGCAACACAAUAAUAGGAGAGCUAUUUGUCAGUAUAUAUCACUAAGGAUUACAAUGAGAGUAUAUACAGUCAGUAUUUCAAAUUAUAAAAAGAAAUGUAGGCCAGGCGCGGUGCCUCACACCUGUAAUCCCAGCACUUUGGGAGACCAAGGUGGGUGGAUUACCUGAGGUUAGGAGUUCGAAACCAGCCUAGCCAACAUGGUGAAAACCUGUAUCUACUAAAAAUACAAAAAUUAGCCAGGCGUGGUGGCGCAUGCCUGUAAUCCCAGCUACUCGGGAGGCUGAGACAGGAGAAUUGCUUGAACCUUGGAGGCAGAGGUCGCACUGAGCCAAGAUUGUGCCACUGUACUCCAGCCUGGGCAACAGAGCAAGACUCUUUUUCAAUAAAUAAAUAAAUAAAAGAAAUGUAAUGAAAGAGAGAGAACUCUGAACUUUUAAAGAACUUUUCACCCAGUCUUGAUCUACCUGAUAGAAAGGCUUGUCAGAGAAAGUUAGAGUUCAGAGGCAGCCAAUUGAAUAUAAUUAACUCCAAAUGAAGAUAAACCUUUUCUAAAUCAUAACUGAAGGCUAUAAAAAAAUGAGAAUUAUAUAUAUAUAUUUUUUGAGACAGGGUCUUACUCUAUUGCCCAGGCUCGAGUGCAGUGGCAUGAUCUGGGCUCACUGAAGCCUUGACCUCCUUGGCUCAGGUGAUCCUCCCACCUCAGCCUCCUGAGUAGCUGGGACUACAGCUUUCAGUUACCAGAGAUCAACUGCGGUUUUAAAAUAUUAUGUGGAAAAUUCCAGAAAUACAUAGUAAGUUUUCAAUUGCAUGCCAUUAAAUCUCAUGCUGUCCCUGCCCCCUUCCUCUCUGGAGGUGAAUUAUCCCUUUGUCCAGUGGCUCCACGAUAACUACAUUCCCCAAGUUGUUCUCUUAGGAACCCUUUCUGGGUUCAAGGAACCCUUACUUUACUUAAUUAUGGCCCCAAAGCACAAGAUAGGGAUGCUGGCAUACUGUUAUAAUUGUUCUAUUUUAGUAUUAGUUAUUGUUGUUAAUCUCUACCUGUGACUAAUUUAUGAAUUCAACUUUAUCAUAGGUAUGUAGGUAUAGGAAAAAAACAUGGUAUGUAUAAGGUUCAGUACUAUCUGCAGUUUCAGACAUCCCCUGGGGGUCUUGGAACAUAUCCCCCGUGGAUAAGGGGGAACUACUGUAAAAGUUUGUGUUUUAUAGAGUAGUUGUGAGAACUACAUUAAUCCAUAAUGUGUGGCUCAUGAUACUCAUUGAUAGAUGGUAGUUGCAACAAUAAAAAGUAGUAUUAUC